AGGAACCAGGCACAAGGGCCCCAGUCCAGGAACCAGGCACAAUAUGGAGGUGGAGGAAGUGCAUGCCAAGGCCAAAGUUGAGGAUAGCGUGAUUCACAGUGAGCUGUUGGAGGGUUGCGAGGUUCUCAUCACGAGCGCGCCUACUCGUCUACUCGCCUACUCGUCUACUCGUCUACUCAUCUACUCAUCUACUCGUCUCGUCUACUCGCCUACUCGUCUACUGUACUAAACACCGUCUACUUGGGUAUCCAAACAUGAUCUCUCCACCCAAAAAGCUCUCCUCCAAGCACUAACGGGUUCUAGUUUUCACGAUCCAGAGAAAGAAAAAGAAAAGACCGAGGACCAUGUGGUUAUUGAUUUCUGCACCCGGCCCAAAAGGGCAGGGAAGAUACCAUACGGAGCCAAACUGAGGUCUAUCGGCACAACGGGCCGCUGGAACCGUCUUAGAUGGAGCAACCGUGGGGUGAGCCAUUUGUGAGCGUUCAACAGUGGUGAGCAAUGUUUUGAUCAGGCCAUGGAAUAUGUGCUUGCCAUGACCGCUCACUCUUGUACGUGUACUCGUACGGGUUGUCCUCCACUGUAAGAUUGCAGUAAUGGCAGUGUGCAAAGUGCAAACUCAAGCAUCUGGCUAUCACAGUGCUGGGACGGUCCAUCAACGCCAAUCAGCCGUCUAUCAGGACUCGAGUGCCAAUCCACGGCCAAUCAACACAGCUGACUACUUCGGAGCCCGUCUUUUAGGGCAAUCGGCGGCCAAGCAACAUUAGGGUGUCUUCGGUACGAGUACGAGUCGGAGUAUCGUGCAAGUAGUGUUUGGUAUGGCUGUAAAUAUUGUAGCUUUCGAAGCGAGACUCGGCCUUUCAACUGAGACCCAUUUGUUUUGGGAAAAAGUAAUGAGCAGCUAGCGCAGAGACCGUGUGGAAACGGAGGCGAAGGACAGCCAAUGUACAACUACGGUAGCUGAGACUGGGGCGAAUUGUUAAUUCGGUUUUAUAUUUAAUCAAAAUAUGGGACUUUAAAUUCCAUUGAAAGA
This 1030-nucleotide unclassified non-coding RNA is filed under the name Yarrowia lipolytica. The record is from RNAcentral. Lineage: Eukaryota; Fungi; Ascomycota; Dipodascomycetes; Dipodascales.